GCGCACGUGGUGAAAUUGGUAGACACGCCACUUUGAGGGGGUGGUGCCCGUUUGGGUAUGGAAGUUCGACUCUUCUCGUGCGCACAA
This 87-nucleotide transfer RNA is filed under the name Rhodonellum psychrophilum GCM71 = DSM 17998. Its description in RNAcentral is "tRNA-Leu". It matches the Rfam family "tRNA". From Rfam's summary of the family: Transfer RNA (tRNA) molecules are approximately 80 nucleotides in length. Their secondary structure includes four short double-helical elements and three loops (D, anti-codon, and T loops). Further hydrogen bonds mediate the characteristic L-shaped molecular structure. tRNAs have two regions of fundamental functional importance: the anti-codon, which is responsible for specific mRNA codon recognition, and the 3' end, to which the tRNAs corresponding amino acid is attached (by aminoacyl-tRNA synthetases). tRNAs cope with the degeneracy of the genetic code in two manners: having more than one tRNA (with a specific anti-codon) for a particular amino acid; and 'wobble' base-pairing, i.e. permitting non-standard base-pairing at the 3rd anti-codon position. Lineage: Bacteria; Pseudomonadati; Bacteroidota; Cytophagia; Cytophagales; Cytophagaceae. The record is from RNAcentral.